UCCAAGAGAAGCAUUUGCACAGGCACAGGGAAUUGGACUCAAACUGAUCUAACAAUUUUUUUCUUUCCUUUCAGCUGGAUCAGUUAAGAAAAAGUCAGUGGUGGUGCAGAUGGUGAUGACAGCUCAUACAGAAAUGCUGCUAGAUUUCUAGCCAUUGCCUCGAAAUACUGAUUUCAAACUACAGUGCUAUAAUGACAGCCUAAAUGAAGAAAAAGACCCAAACUUGUACCAAAUACCAGACUCAUUAGAACACCAAAGACUGGAACUUCAAUAAGGAGAAUUUACACUUGUUUAGAAGUCAUACAAAAAGUGGAAUUAAUUCAGUUCUUCACUUCCCCAAGUUUUGUUGGCUUCAAGGGGCUGUUCCCAAAUUACAUUGGUGUCACACUGGAAUGAGAUCAUCUCAGUUCAACCACCACUCAAAACAUCACUCUUACCCAUAAAACAUCACUGGCUUCCAACACUCUCAAAAGUACAAAAGGUUCCUUCAGCCAUGCUUCUUUUCCAAGUGGAAGACGAAAGAAAGGUACAGACAGAGAAUCCAGCACCUAAGCAUCAUAAGGCUAAAUAUUUGUUCACUUGCUUAACAUGCAGUAAGUCCUGGAGUGCUCUCUGUUUACCCAAGAGGAUUUCAGCAUAGAGGCUUGCUCCAGAAAGGUAUUUGUUUAGAAAAGAGAAAAAUCCUGCAGAUCAGUGUAAUCUCUGUUACUCUAGGAAUUAGUGA
RNAcentral lists this long non-coding RNA (724 nucleotides) under Parus major (Great Tit). RNAcentral's name for it is "lncRNA (ENSPMJG00000002115.1)". The record is from RNAcentral. Lineage: Eukaryota; Metazoa; Chordata; Aves; Passeriformes; Paridae.